RNAcentral lists this ribosomal RNA (549 nucleotides) under uncultured fungus. RNAcentral describes it as "eukaryotic LSU rRNA". The stretch from base 185 to 338 matches the Rfam family "5.8S ribosomal RNA". The record is from RNAcentral. Lineage: Eukaryota; Fungi.
AAGUCGUAACAAGGUCUCCGUUGGUGAACCAGCGGAGGGAUCAUUACUGAGUACUACACUCUCUACCCUUUGUGAACUAUUAUACCUGUUGCUUCGGCGGCGCCACAAGGGUGCCCGCCGGUCUCAUCAGAAUCUCUGUUUUCGAACCCGACGAUACUUCUGAGUGUUCUUAGCGAACUGUCAAAACUUUUAACAACGGAUCUCUUGGCUCCAGCAUCGAUGAAGAACGCAGCGAAACGCGAUAUGUAAUGUGAAUUGCAGAAUUCAGUGAAUCAUCGAAUCUUUGAACGCACAUGGCGCCUUCCAGUAUCCUGGGAGGCAUGCCUGUCCGAGCGUCGUUUCAACCCUCGAGCCCCUGUGGCCCGGCGUUGGGGAUCUGCCACGGCAGGCCCCUAAAACCAGUGGCGGACCCGAAGGGCCCUCUCCUUUGCGCAGUAGCAUUCGCCUCGCAUCGGGAGUCCUCGGCGUCCUGCCUCUAAACCCCCACAAGCCCGCUUCGGCGGCACCAAGGUUGACCUCGGAUCAGGUAGGAAUACCCGCUGAACUUAA